UUGUCCAUGGAUGUAUGGCCACCAGCGAAGGGUCCGAUUUUUCUGAGUAGUGUAAGAUGUAGAGGCAAUGAAGCCAACAUCCUUUCGUGUCCUCACCAACAAGGUGAAAACAGCUGUAGCCAUGAUCAGGAUGUAGCAAUAGAGUGCAAAGAAACAGACACGAAGAGAUCUUCAUUGUCAGCUACGGGGCUAACUGCCAUCCGCGCGAUUGCUGUAGCAGUCUUUCCUUGCAUAGUACUCGGUGUGACACUGAAAUUCUGCAUACAUAAAUACCGUGCAAAGCGGAAUGCCCGUACAAGACGAGAAAGCAAUGAGACACGAGAAGCAAACUCAUUCGUUACUAGAAGAUUGACUUCUAUAGGACGAGAAUCCAGGGUACCACGCUCUUCUACCAAUGGAGUCUUUUUCACAAACAACAGCAAUACAGUUCAAAGCCCUUUCCACUCUUCAGUUAUGGCGUGGCAAAACCACCAUCUCCUCCAGCAAACUUAACUCAAGACCCUCCGUCAUAUGUAGAGCUGUUUCCAAACGGGGAGGGUAAAACUCCUGACAAAACGCCCCCACCACCAUCUUACGAGAGCGUCGCAUCGACAAGGUGGUAGACAAGAAAAGAUGACUCCAGUUCAGUUUUGAAAAUAUCUUUGGCUGCUUGAGAGCGCCAAGAAGCGCCUAUUGACACUAGGGACUGAAUAUGAUGCCGAAUAAAUGAACAGCCCUUACGGGUUACAAGAUGCAAUGCAUAACCCAUAUCCUUCAUGAAAUACUGUUAAUCUGCUUCUAUAUGAUAUGUGGGCGCUUGCGUGACCGAGGUGGUUAGCACGCUAGCACGUCGUUGUGAGCGCAAAGUCCAGCUCAUCCGCCGUACUUGAUCGUGAGUUUUCCCCGGGCUCUAUCCGAUUUCCUCCCGCCAUCAUGCUGGCAGCCGUGGAGUAAGUGAAAUAUUCUUGGGUAGGGCGCUAAACACCAAUCAGAUAAAUCUAUCAAUAUAAUAUAUGUAUUGCUUUAGCUGUAUAUUUACGACUAGCGGAAAAUAUCCAUAAAGUAUUGUACAUACAAUGACCUCCGUUAGUUAUCACGUGCGAGAUCACUAUGUUAUGCCUUGUAAUGAAUUAAUGAACUUUUUUGCUGUUCUUGAUGAAUUAGAAAGCAUCAUCCGAUAGUGAUGUCCUGUCUGCCAAAGCUAAUAUUCAGUUUAGGCUAGGCAUAGCCUGGACUUGCUUAUAUUUCAUUCCAACCAGUCAGAAGCGAUUCUGUAUCCCUUUAAUGUUCGAACGAUUCUGUAUCCCUUCAAUGUUUGAACGAUUCUGUGAACCCUUAAUACCUUAACCUUACUGGACGUUAAAAAUAGAGUCUUUUGUCCCUCCGGCAACUUGUUUUUUUGGCUAAACAGCUAUCAACAGAAACUUGUGACACUCCCAGUUGUUUUUUUUUAUAAAAGACAACAUUUGAAAAAUGUACACAUUGCCUUCAUUUUGGCUCGAAACUAAUUUACAGAUUUUAACACUAUAUCUACUUUAUUGCGUGUUACUGACAUGGAUGCAAUUCUGUCUAAUCAUCUUCUACAGUUGCCAACAGAUGAUAGACAACUGAGUGGUGUUGUACUAGACACUUUCAGUUUCUGCACUGUACCUUUUCACUCUGGCACGAAACCCCAAUUUAUUUGUUUAUUUGAUUGGUGUUUUACGCCGUACUCAAGAAUAUUUCACUUAUACGACGGCGGCCAUCAUUAUGGUGGGAUGAAAACAGGGCACAGCCCGAGG
Liolophura sinensis is the source of this 1760-nucleotide long non-coding RNA. RefSeq lists it as uncharacterized. Lineage: Eukaryota; Metazoa; Mollusca; Polyplacophora; Chitonida; Chitonidae. The record is from RefSeq and is a predicted model, not a curated record. The transcript has 4 exons.